RNAcentral lists this long non-coding RNA (633 nucleotides) under Nicotiana benthamiana. RNAcentral's name for it is "long non-coding RNA (NBEN_LNC017270)". The record is from RNAcentral. Lineage: Eukaryota; Viridiplantae; Streptophyta; Magnoliopsida; Solanales; Solanaceae.
UGCCACCGGAGAUGACAUGCCUCUCCCCUAUGCCCUCUUGAUAAUGAAAUUCCUUGAAGCUUCCGGGGUCAAUAUUGCUAAUGGUCCUCUCAAAAAGAGCACCAAAAUUUGGGAAAUUUCGGAGUCUUCCUUUCAUCAUGAUGGUGAUCAUGCUCCCGCUCCUCCUCAAAAUCGACAAGCCCGUCGUGCUCAUCCUCCUCAGGAGCCUGCUCCCGCUCCUCCACAAAAUCGACAAGCCCGUCGUGCUCAUCCUUCUCAGGAGCCUACCCUCCGGACCAUCUCUGACCAAAUCACUCAAUUAACCCGUGAGGUCCAUGGGUAUUUUGAUCACGUGAAUUAUGCCUAUGCUCAGGUGGUGCCAUAUCAAGCGCCUCCCAAUGAUGAUGAAGGGGAUGGGGGUGAUGAAUGAUGAAGUUGUUGUUGAUUUUUGAUGAUGUCAUUUGAUGGUUUUUGGAUUUUGUUUGUUUUGGUUGGUAGUUUUUUUUUUUUUGUGUUUGGAUUCCACCCGUGUAAUUUUAAUAUUUUUCAAUAAAUAAACGUGUGUUUAUUUCUUAUUGUGUGCUUACUUCUUCUCUUAUCUUUAUUUUUGCUAAUGGCAAAAGGGGGAAGAAACGGGAUAUAGGGAUAUCAAGU